GGUCCUUCUCCAUUAAUUCCAGGGGAAAAUCAAAGAGAUCUUGAAGCUUAUGUAAGUUUAAAUCAGAGAAGAGAUAAAAGAUUUGGAAUAAAUAUUCCAAAGCUGCAGUGUUAGAAGGAGAAUAAAAAUUCUUCAUCCUUGAAUGGCUGUAGCUGUGCCAUGGUUGUGAUUCAUUACCAGAACAAGAACAAACACGUUUUUGAAGGCUGCACAUUCCCUGUAACUGAAAUAUAACAAGGCAGAGAACAUUGUGCCUCUACCUCCAAACCAGGAUUAGACUUUAUCUUCAGACUAAGGAUUCUACCACUGGCCGUUUUACUGAUUUGAUUGGUGGAAAAUGUAGAUGGUUUGGAUCACAUACAGUUGGCGUGACUUGUACAGCUUCUUUGACGAUGUUGUUACCACAACUGCCAUAGCACUUUCCUGUGUAGAUAGGCAUGAUUUUACACAGAAAGUAAGAUGUGCCCUAGCAGAAUCGUGGGAAAGAAGUUCUCUAAAUGUACAUGCCUUUAGCUGUGUGAACUAG
This 526-nucleotide long non-coding RNA is filed under the name Struthio camelus australis. RNAcentral describes it as "lncRNA (ENSSCUG00000012556.1)". Lineage: Eukaryota; Metazoa; Chordata; Aves; Struthioniformes; Struthionidae. The record is from RNAcentral.